This 890-nucleotide long non-coding RNA is filed under the name Mytilus galloprovincialis (Mediterranean mussel). The record is from RNAcentral. Lineage: Eukaryota; Metazoa; Mollusca; Bivalvia; Mytilida; Mytilidae.
GAAGUCUGGAGCUGACAUGUCAGUUUCCUUUUUCAAUUUUAUUUAGUAGUCUGAUGUUAUUCAUGUAUUGUCAUUUUGUUUAUUUUCUUUGGUUACAUCUUCUGACCUCAGACUCGGACUUCUCUUAAACUGAAUUUUAAUGUGCGUAUUGUUAUGCGUUUACUUUUCUGUAUUGGCUAGAUGUAUAGGGGGAGGGUUGAGAUCUCACAAACAUGUUUAACCCUGCCGCAUUUUUGCGCCUGUCCCAAGUCAGGAGCCUCUGGCCUUUGUUAGUCUUGUAUUAUUUUAACUUUUAGUUUCUUGUGUAUAAUUUGGAGUUUAGUAUGGCGUUUAUUAUCACUGAACUAGUAUAUAUUUGUUUAGGGGCCAACUGAAGGACGCCUCCGGGUGCGGGAAUUUCUCGUUGCAUUGAAGACAUGUUGGCGACCUUCUACUGUUGUCUGCUCUAUGGUCGGGUUGUUGUCUCUUUGGCACAUUCCCCGUUUCCAUUCUCAAUUUUAAGAUCAUAGAUAAAGAAUUAUAGUUUAAACUAACUACCGUGCAUGUCAUUGAUCGAACAUUUAUAGGUAGGAGGACAAGUACAAUUGCUUUAUUGUAUUGUGGUUAUUAAAGCGAAAUUUUGGAAGUUGUUCAAUUGAUUAAGAGUAUUGCAAGAUAAUUUGGUAUUUCAAUUUUCUUUUGUUUAAAGGCGAAUUUGUUUUCGUUGAAGACUUAUUCGUCAACAAAGAUUCCGUCCAUACAAGAAUAUUCACAUUUUAAAAGUUUUACAAAUAAGUUUAAGUUUUUGAAAUUGUGGAGAGUGAUUCAUCAUCAUGUUUAAUUGAGAGAUAAUAUUUUAUUCAUCAUAAUUUCUAACUUGUAGACUUUUCUUUUUCUUGUAACGAUGUACA